Pimephales promelas (fathead minnow) is the source of this 857-nucleotide non-coding RNA. NCBI's taxonomy places the organism in Eukaryota, Metazoa, Chordata, Actinopteri, Cypriniformes, Leuciscidae. The record is from the annotation of a RefSeq genome assembly.
UUUUGCAUGAGCAGAUAUCACAUUUAUUAGACUAAAUGUAAUGUUUGGCUUUAAAUGUGUACAUAUGUGAUGGUUUUGGCAUCAAACUGAGAGAGGGGAGGAGUUUAACAUCUUAGAUGAUCUUGUUACAUUUGCUAGACUGUCACAAAGCUCAGUCCUGCUGUACUGAACACACACACACACAUAUACAAUGAUACUUCUUUCAGUCAUUCUGCUCUUUGCCUUGGCAUGUGUGAGUUUUGGAGAUGAAAUCACACCAGACCGCAGGGAAGAGUUUGCUGCAGUGUCUUUAACUGUUACAUUAUCCUGCAGUUAUUCCUCUGCUAAUUCACUUCUAUGGUACCGUCAGUCUCCCGGAUCAGCUCCUCAAUUUCUUGUGCUCAUAAUCGAGGGUGUGAAAGAGACUAAGACAUCUGAGGUAGAUCCCAGAUUCUCUACUAAGACUAGAAAAGAAGAAAAGAUCAAACGUGUGGAUCUGGAGAUCUCCUCUGCUGAAGUGUCAGACUCUGCUGUGUAUUACUGUGCUCUGAGGCCCACAGUCACAGGAAACACUAGAACACCGUACAAAAACCUGACACAACAAAAAAAGGCAUAACUAUUAUGCCUUCUGCUAACAGACUGAAGUACAUAAAAGAAAGAAUCACAUUCCCAAAUUGCCAACUCAGACACUGAGAACAAAAGUCUGAUGGAACAUAUCCAAAUGCCCAUGUUUAAAAUUAGACUUAAAUCGUUGUACAAACCCAACAUUACAGUCAUUAAGUCAAAGCUUAAUUUCACAAAUAAACUAUAUUCAUAAGCAGAAUGCAGAUUUUUGAUUUUUAAACUUUGGAGGAAGCUACAUUAAAAAAUAGACCAUA